This 72-nucleotide antisense RNA is filed under the name Streptomyces pluripotens. RNAcentral's name for it is "ASpks TB sRNA". It matches the Rfam family "ASpks TB sRNA". The record is from Rfam by way of RNAcentral. RNAcentral also lists the same sequence under 1 other name. Lineage: Bacteria; Bacillati; Actinomycetota; Actinomycetes; Kitasatosporales; Streptomycetaceae.
CUUCACCGACCCCAGCCACAGCGGAUCACCGUCGCGGUUCCGGCCGUAGGUGGCCAGCAGUGCCUGCGCCUC